This 713-nucleotide non-coding RNA is filed under the name Pan troglodytes (chimpanzee). The record is from RNAcentral. Lineage: Eukaryota; Metazoa; Chordata; Mammalia; Primates; Hominidae.
CUCGGAGGCUGCUGGUAGGGGGGCACCACUUUCAGAUAAAAACAUAGACCUGAAUGGCAUCAUCCAGUAUCCAAGGAAACCAUGCUUGCUUGAAGAGUGAGCAGGUGAGCAAAGAGACAAGAUUACAUGUUUAAACCAAGAAAAGAAUUUUGAAAAACAGAUUGGAAGAAUGCGAAAUGUUAUUAGACACAGGCACAGCAUAGCAGUAGAAACAUCUUAACUGAGAACCUGGAACUGAAAGAGAAAGCAACCAACUUAAAGGGCAGACAAGACACAUGGUUAUGUAACACAGCAGUGGGUAUUCACAGUGAUGACACAAGACAAAAUAAUUACAUUUUCAUUCUAAAAGCAAUUUUUAAGGAGGCAAGGGCAUUUAUAAAGCAUUUUAGAAACUAUUUAAUAAAAAUGGUAAAAUUAAAGUGUUUGUUUAUGUACUCAACAAAUAUUUAUUUGGAAAAUGCAUGUCUGGGGGCACAUCUCGUUAAUGAGGUGAUCCUGUGUUUAGAACUGAAGGCAGUCCUCAUCCAUUCUCUCAAAAGGUGACCUUCUUUGUUCUUCUUAUAGCCUCACCACAUUUAAUUUUCAGAGGUUUUGAUAUAAAUUAAAAACAUUCUUUGGUAGAUUGUAUUGUAUGAAAACACUCUUCAAAAGUGUAAGCAUUGAUAUCUGGCAUAUCUGGGAAAAUGUACAAUAAAGACAUCUCUUCUGGUCUU